Molecule: unclassified non-coding RNA, 253 nt
Filed under: uncultured Alphaproteobacteria bacterium
Lineage: Bacteria; Pseudomonadati; Pseudomonadota; Alphaproteobacteria
Description: contains 16S-23S intergenic spacer region
Rfam family: Bacterial small subunit ribosomal RNA
Source: RNAcentral
UACAGAGGGGGCUAGCGUUGUUCGGAGUCACUGGGCGUAAAGCGCGCGUAGGCGGCCUGUUAAGUUGGAUGUGAAAGCCCGGGGCUCAACCUCGGAUGCGCAUCCGAGACUGGCGGGCUCGAGGCCGGGAGAGGGCGGCGGAAUUCCCAGUGUAGAGGUGAAAUUCGUAGAUAUUGGGAAGAACACCGGUGGCGAAGGCGGCCGCCUGGCCCGGAACUGACGCUGAGGCGCGAAAGCGUGGGGAGCAAACAGG